GAUGAACGCUGGCGGCGUGCCUAAUACAUGCAAGUCGAACGAGCUCUUCGGAGCUAGUGGCGGACGGGUGAGUAACACGUUGGUACCUACCCCGAAGUGGGGAAUAACUGCCCGGAAGGGUGGCUAAUACCGCAUAAUACCGUAAGGUUAAAGCAGUAAUGCGCUUCGGGAGGGGCCUGCGUCCCAUUAGCUAGUUGGCGGGGUAAAUGCCCACCAAGGCGACGAUGGGUAGCUGGAUCGAGAGGUUGACCAGCCACACUGGGACUGAGAUACGGCCCAGACUCCUACGGGAGGCAGCAGUAAGGAAUCUUCCACAAUGGACGAAAGUCUGAUGGAGCAACGCCGCGUGCAGGAUUAAGGCCUUCGGGUUGUAAACUGCUUUUAUAUAGGAAGAUUAUGACGGUACUAUAUGAAUAAGGACCGGCUAACUACGUGCCAGCAGCCGCCGUAA
RNAcentral lists this ribosomal RNA (451 nucleotides) under uncultured bacterium. RNAcentral's name for it is "partial 16S ribosomal RNA". It matches the Rfam family "Bacterial small subunit ribosomal RNA", at positions 28 to 523 of the family's 1533-position model. The record is from RNAcentral.